Molecule: unclassified non-coding RNA, 207 nt
Filed under: Hevea brasiliensis (rubber tree)
Lineage: Eukaryota; Viridiplantae; Streptophyta; Magnoliopsida; Malpighiales; Euphorbiaceae
Source: RNAcentral
GAAGAGGGCAUUGAAGCUUCUGUUUGUUAUGGUGAUAUGGAUCACGAUGCUCGCAAAAUUCAUGUUUCUAGAUUUAGAGCAAGAAAAACCAUGGUGCUCAUUGUGACGGAUGUGGCUGCUAGAGGAAUUGAUAUUCCACUGCUUGAUAAUGUUAUCAACUUUGAUUUUCCUACCAAACCUAAACUUUUUGUUCAUCGAGUUGGGCGA